Molecule: non-coding RNA, 146 nt
Filed under: Stygamoeba regulata
Lineage: Eukaryota; Discosea; Stygamoebida
Source: RNAcentral
CAAAAGGAAGGAGAGAGGAAUAAAAGUGGACAAUGAAAUAAAAAGAAAAAUAUGCACACUAAAACAUUAUUCUUCCCUCGUACUCGCCACUCCCUGUCCCCACUCCCUUGAUUUUUCUUCCUUGUUUCCUUCUUUCCUGAUCCUUU